GGCUUCAUAGUGUAGUGGUUAGCACAUCUGCUUUACACACAGAAGGUCCUGGGUUUGCACCACAGGUGGAGCCA
RNAcentral lists this transfer RNA (74 nucleotides) under Pteropus alecto (black flying fox). It matches the Rfam family "tRNA". Rfam says of the family: Transfer RNA (tRNA) molecules are approximately 80 nucleotides in length. Their secondary structure includes four short double-helical elements and three loops (D, anti-codon, and T loops). RNAcentral also lists the same sequence under 1 other name. Lineage: Eukaryota; Metazoa; Chordata; Mammalia; Chiroptera; Pteropodidae. The record is from Rfam by way of RNAcentral.